This 472-nucleotide ribosomal RNA is filed under the name uncultured bacterium. RNAcentral describes it as "bacterial SSU rRNA". It matches the Rfam family "Bacterial small subunit ribosomal RNA", at positions 28 to 497 of the family's 1533-position model. The record is from RNAcentral.
GAUGAACGCUGGCGGCGUGCUUAACACAUGCAAGUCGAACGAAGCACUUUAUUUGAUUUUCUUCGGAAAUGAAGAUUUUGUGACUGAGUGGCGGACGGGUGAGUAACGCGUGGGUAACCUGCCUCAUACAGGGGGAUAACAGUUGGAAACGACUGCUAAUACCGCAUAAGCGCACAGGAUUGCAUGAUCCGGUGUGAAAAACUCCGGUGGUAUGAGAUGGACCCGCGUCUGAUUAGCCAGUUGGCAGGGUAACGGCCUACCAAAGCGACGAUCAGUAGCCGACCUGAGAGGGUGACCGGCCACAUUGGGACUGAGACACGGCCCAAACUCCUACGGGAGGCAGCAGUGGGGAAUAUUGCACAAUGGGGGAAACCCUGAUGCAGCGACGCCGCGUGAGCGAAGAAGUAUUUCGGUAUGUAAAGCUCUAUCAGCAGGGAAGAAGAAUGACGGUACCUGACUAAGAAGCACCGGC